RNAcentral lists this ribosomal RNA (485 nucleotides) under uncultured bacterium. RNAcentral describes it as "partial 16S ribosomal RNA". It matches the Rfam family "Bacterial small subunit ribosomal RNA", at positions 29 to 523 of the family's 1533-position model. The record is from RNAcentral.
AGUGAACGCUGGCGGCGUGCUUAACACAUGCAAGUCGAACGAGAACGGAAUAUAGCUUGCUAUAUUUGUCAGCUAAGUGGCGCAUGGGUGAGUAAUGUAUAGAUAACCUGCCCUUAAGAAAGGAAUAACAGUUGGAAACGACUGCUAAUGCCCUAUAUGCCUUUAAUACAUAAGUAUGCAAGGGAAACGCUUUAGUGCUUAAGGAUGGGUCUGUAUGGUAUCAGCUUGUCGGUGAGGUAAUGGCUCACCAGGGCUAUGACGCCUAACUGGUUUGAGAGGAUGAUCAGUCACACUGGAACUGAGACACGGUCCAGACUCCUACGGGAGGCAGCAGUGGGGAAUAUUGCACAAUGGACGAAAGUCUGAUGCAGCAACGCCGCGUGGAGGAUGACACAUUUCGGUGCGUAAACUCCUUUUAUAUAGGAAGAUAAUGACGGUACUAUAUGAAUAAGCACCGGCUAACUCCGUGCCAGCCGCCGCAGUAA